GGCCUCCUGGUGCUAACCAAGGCUGUCUUCCUGUACUGACUGAAGCAGAGAAAGAGGAAGCAGAGUAAACCUGUACCAUGUGCACCUUAGCCCAGUCCUGUGUGUGCCUGGUCUCUACUAUAAAUGCAGGGAAAUGA
Small nucleolar RNA from Callithrix jacchus (white-tufted-ear marmoset), 137 nucleotides. The record is from Ensembl. NCBI's taxonomy places the organism in Eukaryota, Metazoa, Chordata, Mammalia, Primates, Cebidae.